Molecule: ribosomal RNA, 549 nt
Filed under: Hynobius leechii (Gensan salamander)
Lineage: Eukaryota; Metazoa; Chordata; Amphibia; Caudata; Hynobiidae
Description: partial 16S ribosomal RNA
Rfam family: Bacterial large subunit ribosomal RNA
Source: RNAcentral
CAUCGCCUCUUGCAAUUAAGGUAUAAGAGGUCCUGCCUGCCCAGUGACAUUAAGUUUAACGGCCGCGGUAUUAUGACCGUGCAAAGGUAGCGUAAUCACUUGUCUUUUAAAUAAAGACCAGUAUGAAUGGCAAGACGAAAGUUCAACUGUCUCCCUAAAUUAAUCAGUGAAAUUGAUUUCUCCGUGCAGAAGCGGAGAUAAAAUUAUAAGACGAGAAGACCCUAUGGAGCUUUAAACAUAUAAUCAAUUGUAUUCCAUAAAAUCCGAAAGAUAAAAUAUAAAAUAAAACAAUAUGAUUAAAAUUUUAGGUUGGGGCGACCACGGAGAAAAACAAAACCUCCGAGAUGAAAAGAAUAUCUUAAUUUAAGAACCACAAUUCCAAAAAAUAAAAUAUUUAACAUAAUUGAUCCAAUAUUUUGAUCAACGAACCAAGUUACCCUAGGGAUAACAGCGCAAUCCUCUCCAAGAGUCCCUAUCGACGAGUGGGUUUACGACCUCGAUGUUGGAUCAGGACACCCCGAUGGUGCAGCCGCUAUUAAAGGUUCGUUU